RNAcentral lists this ribosomal RNA (405 nucleotides) under Vibrio sp. P5-28. Its description in RNAcentral is "bacterial SSU rRNA". It matches the Rfam family "Bacterial small subunit ribosomal RNA", at positions 61 to 452 of the family's 1533-position model. The record is from RNAcentral. Lineage: Bacteria; Pseudomonadati; Pseudomonadota; Gammaproteobacteria; Vibrionales; Vibrionaceae.
GUCUGAGCGGAAACGAGUUAUCUGAACCUUCGGGGAACGAUAACGGCGUCGAGCGGCGGACGGGUGAGUAAUGCCUGGGAAAUUGCCCUGAUGUGGGGGAUAACUAUUGGAAACGAUAGCUAAUACCGCAUAACGUCUACGGACCAAAGAGGGGGACCUUCGGGCCUCUCGCUUCAGGAUAUGCCCAGGUGGGAUUAGCUAGUUGGUGAGGUAAUGGCUCACCAAGGCGACGAUCCCUAGCUGGUCUGAGAGGAUGAUCAGCCACACUGGAACUGAGACACGGUCCAGACUCCUACGGGAGGCAGCAGUGGGGAAUAUUGCACAAUGGGCGCAAGCCUGAUGCAGCCAUGCCGCGUGUAUGAAGAAGCCUUCGGGUUGUAAAGUACUUUCAGUCGUGAGGAAGGC